GAGUUUGAUCCUGGCUCAGAGCGAACGCUGGCGGAAUGCUUAACACAUGCAAGUCGCACGGUCAGCAAUGGCAGUGGCGGACGGGUGAGUAACGCGUAGGAAUAUGUCCAGAGGUGGGGGACAACCCCGGGAAACUGGGGCUAAUACCGCAUAUGAGCUGAGGCUCAAAGCAGUGAUGCGCCUUUGGAGUAGCCUGCGUCCGAUUAGCUUGUUGGUGGGGUAAUGGCCUACCAAGGCGACGAUCGGUAGCUGGUCUGAAAGGACGACCAGCCACACUGGGACUGAGACACGGCCCAGACUCCUACGGGAGGCAGCAGUGGGGAAUAUUGGACAAUGGGCGCAAGCCUGAUCCAGCAAUUCCGCGUGGGUGAAGAAGGUCUUCGGAUUGUAAAGCCCUUUCGACGGGGACGAUGAUGACGGUACCCGUAGAAGAAGCCCCGGCUAACUUUGUGCCAGCCGCCGCGGUAC
Molecule: ribosomal RNA, 468 nt
Filed under: uncultured bacterium
Lineage: Bacteria
Description: bacterial SSU rRNA
Rfam family: Bacterial small subunit ribosomal RNA
Source: RNAcentral